This 484-nucleotide ribosomal RNA is filed under the name uncultured bacterium. RNAcentral describes it as "partial 16S ribosomal RNA". It matches the Rfam family "Bacterial small subunit ribosomal RNA", at positions 30 to 507 of the family's 1533-position model. The record is from RNAcentral.
AUUGAACGCUGGCGGCAGGCCUAACACAUGCAAGUCGAGCGGAUGAAGGGAGCUUGCUCCUGAAUUCAGCGGCGGACGGGUGAGUAAUGCCUAGGAAUCUGCCUGGUAGUGGGGGAUAACGUCCGGAAACGGGCGCUAAUACCGCAUACGUCCUGAGGGAGAAAGUGGGGGAUCUUCGGACCUCACGCUAUCAGAUGAGCCUAGGUCGGAUUAGCUAGUUGGUGGGGUGAAGGCCUACCAAGGCGACGAUCCGUAACUGGUCUGAGAGGAUGAUCAGUCACACUGGAACUGAGACACGGUCCAGACUCCUACGGGAGGCAGCAGUGGGGAAUAUUGGACAAUGGGCGAAAGCCUGAUCCAGCCAUGCCGCGUGUGUGAAGAAGGUCUUCGGAUUGUAAAGCACUUUAAGUUGGGAGGAAGGGCAGUAAGUUAAUACCUUGCUGUUUUGACGUUACCAACAGAAUAAGCACCGGCUAACUUCGUG